CCCUUUGAGCAUUUUUCAGAGAUGCUUCUUCAGAUUAGUCAGUGUCCCACUACCUAAGCCUGCUGGAAAGAGGAAAAGACAGCCAGUGCUGCUCAGACAUUCAAAGGACAGGGAUACUCUAGACCAUUGCUGCUGCAGUAUGUGGAAGCUUACCAGAUCUUGCUCAACAGUGAGGGCAGCCUUAGGCACAAGGAAAUGCCAAAGGAGUGGAGCUCUACAGAUGACCUGAAAUCAUUUCCAAAUGGUGUGUGGGAAGGAGCCUGAAAACAAAACAAGAAAUGGGGAACCAAGGAAUCACCAAAUUAGGCAGCAAUAUAAGAAAAGAAGAGAAAACAAAAAAGAAGAGAAAGCAAAGUAGGACAAUAAGUCUCCAGUUUAUAUAGAGAGUCUUCAACCUAAGGUAAAAAUUUCUUCCACAGCAGCUUAAUGCCACCCACAGCCUUCAACAGCACAGGACCAUGGAGGUUGGUGAAACACCCAGUGCACAUGAUCCUGUACAGGCAGCUGUACUGCAUGCUCUCUGAAGAGGUCAGUGCUACAGAGAAACAUUUACUGUCUUUUGACCAUGUUGAACGACUCUCUCAGGGUAAUAAACAAAAAUCCCUGCUAGAAAUAUCAGAGCCAUUUGCUUAGUGUUUACUGCGAGUGCUAGGAGACAAAUGUAGAGUGGGCAGGAAACUGUCCCGAGCCUGUGAUUUUGAGAGCUUCUGCUACAAAGACAAAAGUUAAAAUGAAAAGAAAAUAUACAAUAAAACUGUAAAUAAAAAAACAACCCCCAAACCCACAGACUGAUCGUUCCCAAUAAUUGGUUCAGAGUGACUACAGCCUUUUAAACAAACAUGGGAGGAUAUUCAGAAAUGCUUCUCAGUGCCUCCUACACCAAAACUGUCCCAAGGUUCCCAUCGGUAAGCGGAGAGAGGCAAAAAGCCUUCUGGAUGUGAUUCGGAGCAAAAGCCUAACUCAAGAUGUGAUUUUGGCUCCUGCUCCAUGCAGCCCACAUGGAGGCUGCAGCCAAGAGGUGGAUCCGCUCCUUCCCUUUACCCUCCUCCCCUGCCCUGGCUCUGGCACUCCUGAGGCCACGGGACAACACUGAACCGACCGCUCACCCAGCAGAAUGCUGCACACCAAGGAAGAGAGCACGAGGUCUAUUUCAGACAAACUGCUUGCCCAAAAGCAGCCCAUAACACCCAGUUGUGAGAUUUACAGGUUUUAACCUAAUAAAAGAUUUUUUUUUAUUAAGUGUUUAACACUGCUGUUAAGAAAAUAUCAGUGACAGACAUUUGUACAAUUACUUUUAUUUUCUUUAAUGUCAAAAUGAAAGACUUCAAAACGAAUCUUCUCCCACACUUUUAAUUUCUGUGAAUCAGCAUUUCCCAAUUAAAAUAAAUAAAUAAAUAAAAACUUU
Molecule: non-coding RNA, 1405 nt
Organism: Anas platyrhynchos (mallard)
Lineage: Eukaryota; Metazoa; Chordata; Aves; Anseriformes; Anatidae
Source: RefSeq, a predicted model, not a curated record